AUGUAAGUUUUUGCGUGAAUUUUUAUUUAUUUUAAUAAUAUAUAAUUUUUUAAAAAUCUCAGUAAUUAAUUUUAUAAAUCAAGGAAACUUGGAAUUAGUAAUUUCAUUAAGUAUUGGUUAAAUUUGUGCCAGCAGCCGCGGUUAUACAAAUAAUACAAAUAAAAUUUUAUUAGUGUAAGUUAAAUUUUUAUUUUAUAAAAUAUAUUUAAAUUUAUUAGGUGGAAUUUUAAAUUUAUAAAAUUUUAUUUAAAAGAUACUGAAACUUGAAAAUUUUAUUAAUAAACUAGGAUUAGAUACCCUAUUAUUUAAAAUGUAAUUAUAAACACUAAAGUAGUAGUAGUUAUGUUCUUGAAACUUAAAAAAUUUGGCGGUAUCUUAGUCUAUUCAGAGGAACCUGUCCUGUAAUCGAUAAUCCACGAGGUACCUUACUUAAAAUUGUUUUCAGUUUAUAUACCGUCGUUAUUAGAAUAUUUUAUUAGAAUAAUAAUUUUCUUUAAUUUUUAUUAAAAUUUAUAUCAGAUCAAGGUGUAGCUUAUAUUUAAGUAGAGAUGGGUUACAAUAAACUUUUUUAAAUGAAUUUUAAUUUGAAAAGUUUAAUGAAAGUGGAUUUGAUAGUAAAAUUUUAAAGAUUAAAAAUUUGAUUUUAGCUCUAAAAUAUGCACAUAUCGCCCGACGCUCUUAUUGUUAAGGUAAGAUAAGUCGUAACAUAGUAGAUGUA
RNAcentral lists this ribosomal RNA (718 nucleotides) under Vidalia armifrons. RNAcentral's name for it is "partial 12S ribosomal RNA". The record is from RNAcentral. Lineage: Eukaryota; Metazoa; Arthropoda; Insecta; Diptera; Tephritidae.